Molecule: ribosomal RNA, 301 nt
Filed under: uncultured bacterium
Lineage: Bacteria
Description: partial 16S ribosomal RNA
Rfam family: Bacterial small subunit ribosomal RNA
Source: RNAcentral
CAGUCGCCGCGGUAAUACGGAGGGUGCAAGCGUUAAUCGGAAUUACUGGGCGUAAAGCGCACGCAGGCGGUUUGUUAAGUCAGAUGUGAAAUCCCCGAGCUAAACUUGGGAACUGCAUUUGAAACUGGCAAGCUAGAGUCUUGUAGAGGGGGGUAGAAUUCCAGGUGUAGCGGUGAAAUGCGUAGAGAUCUGGAGGAAUACCGGUGGCGAAGGCGGCCCCCUGGACAAAGACUGACGCUCAGGUGCGAAAGCGUGGGGAGCAAACAGGAUUAGAUACCCGAGUAGUCCCUGUCUCUUAUAC